CCGCGCUAGGGACCGUGGUUCGUGGUCGAACUUACAAAAAUCCUCCGAGACUGAAAAGGAACCGAUGACUCAAAGAAGAAAUUCAGAGGGCGUGCAGAAAA
Lemur catta (Ring-tailed lemur) is the source of this 101-nucleotide long non-coding RNA. RefSeq lists it as uncharacterized. The record is from RefSeq and is a predicted model, not a curated record. Lineage: Eukaryota; Metazoa; Chordata; Mammalia; Primates; Lemuridae. The transcript has 3 exons.